GCGCCCGUAGCUCAAUUGGAUAGAGCAUCUGACUUCGGAUCAGAGGGUUGGGGGUUCAAGUCCCUUCGGGCGUA
This 74-nucleotide transfer RNA is filed under the name bacterium. Its description in RNAcentral is "tRNA-Arg". It matches the Rfam family "tRNA". Rfam says of the family: Transfer RNA (tRNA) molecules are approximately 80 nucleotides in length. Their secondary structure includes four short double-helical elements and three loops (D, anti-codon, and T loops). The record is from RNAcentral.